UUUUGUUGGAGAGUUUGAUCCUGGCUCAGGACGAACGCUGGCGGCGUGCUUAACACAUGCAAGUCGAGCGGAAAGGCCCUUCGGGGUACUCGAGCGGCGAACGGGUGAGUAACACGUGAGCAACCUGCCCUAGGCUUUGGGAUAACCCUCGGAAACGGGGGCU
RNAcentral lists this ribosomal RNA (163 nucleotides) under Micromonospora haikouensis. Its description in RNAcentral is "16S rRNA. Bacterial SSU". It matches the Rfam family "Bacterial small subunit ribosomal RNA", at positions 1 to 164 of the family's 1533-position model. Lineage: Bacteria; Bacillati; Actinomycetota; Actinomycetes; Micromonosporales; Micromonosporaceae. The record is from RNAcentral.